Molecule: non-coding RNA, 71 nt
Organism: Podarcis lilfordi (Lilford's wall lizard)
Lineage: Eukaryota; Metazoa; Chordata; Lepidosauria; Squamata; Lacertidae
Source: the annotation of a GenBank genome assembly
GCGGUACAGCUCAAUGGUAGAGCAUCUUCUUCACAUGCAGAGGGUCCCAGGAUCAAUCCCUCACAUCUCCA